Molecule: ribosomal RNA, 459 nt
Filed under: uncultured bacterium
Lineage: Bacteria
Description: partial 16S ribosomal RNA
Rfam family: Bacterial small subunit ribosomal RNA
Source: RNAcentral
CCUACGGGAGGCAGCAGUGAGGAAUAUUGGUCAAUGGGAGAGAUCCUGAACCAGCCAAGCCGCGUGAGGGAAGACGGCCCUAUGGGUUGUAAACCUCUUUUGUCGGAGAACAAAACCCGAGACGUGUCCCGGACUGCGUGUAUCCGAAGAAAAAGCAUCGGCUAACUCCGUGCCAGCAGCCGCGGUAAUACGGAGGAUGCACGCGUUGUCCGGAUUUAUGUGGAUUUAAGGGUGCGUAUGCGGUCCUUUAAGUCAGCGGUAAAAUUUCGGGGCUCAACCCCGUCGAGCCGUUGAAACUGGGAGACUUGAGUGGGCGAGAAGUACGCGGAAUGCGCGGUGUAGCGGUGAAAUGCAUAGAGAUCGCGCAGAACUCCGAUUGCGAAGGCAGCGUACCGGCGCCAGACUGACGCUGAGGCACGAAAGCGUGGGGAUCGAACAGGAUUAGAUACCCCUGUAGUC